GACGAACGCUGGCGGCGUGCUUAACACAUGCAAGUCGAACGGUAAGGCCCUUGGGGGUACACGAGUGGCGAACGGGUGAGUAACACGUGGGUGAUCUGCCCUGCACUUCGGGAUAAGCCUGGGAAACUGGGUCUAAUACCGGAUAGGACCACUGCCUGCAUGGGUGGUGGUGGAAAGCUUUUGCGGUGUGGGAUGGGCCCGCGGCCUAUCAGCUUGUUGGUGGGGUGGUGGCCUACCAAGGCGACGACGGGUAGCCGGCCUGAGAGGGUGACCGGCCACACUGGGACUGAGAUACGGCCCAGGCUCCUACGGGAGGCAGAAGUGGGGAAUAGUGCACAAUGGGCGCAAGCCUGAUGCAGCGGCGCCGCGUGAGGGAUGACGGCCUUCGGGUUGUAAACCUCUUUCAGCACCGACGAAGCGCAAGUGACGGUAGGUGCAGAAGAAGGACCGGCCAACUACGUGCCAGCCGCCGCGGUAA
RNAcentral lists this ribosomal RNA (478 nucleotides) under uncultured bacterium. Its description in RNAcentral is "partial 16S ribosomal RNA". It matches the Rfam family "Bacterial small subunit ribosomal RNA", at positions 28 to 523 of the family's 1533-position model. The record is from RNAcentral.